Molecule: long non-coding RNA, 1241 nt
Organism: Sander lucioperca (pikeperch)
Lineage: Eukaryota; Metazoa; Chordata; Actinopteri; Perciformes; Percidae
Exons: 6
Source: RefSeq, a predicted model, not a curated record
UCCACCUCUGCCUCCACUUCUGCUUCCACCUCUACUCCUGCUUCAACCUUGAGCUACACUGUAUCAGCUACCACUGAUAAAUGUGUGAUGGAUGCAUGGAAAGGAAAGAAUCCAUACAUUCUUCUUUCCAAAGUUGGGCCCUACAAACUGUUUUAUGCAGAUAUAGCAAGAACAGCCCCAAAUAUGCAGUUGGAGAGUGAGGUACAGGGUGUUUACAUAGGGGAUUUAUGCAGUUAUAUAUGCAGAAAACAGAUCCUAUUUGAUAUUGUAUGUCAUUUCAUCUCAGGUUAUUAAUGCCUACUUGGAGCUCCUGGUCAAAGAGCACAAUGGGCGAACAAGGGAAAAGGCAAUUGCUGUCGACACGUUUGCCAUGACUGAUGUUUGGAAUAAUAAAAGCAAACUGCGUGAAGUAUGUGGAGAUUUUACAGUACAUAUAGACUCAAGUAUUUAUUUAUGCAUCUUUGAGUUAGUCCUUCCGAGCGAUGUAUAAAUAUACCUUUUCUACCCAUGUUUUUCUAAUUUUAGCUUGAUCCUGAUGUUCAAAUUAAUCAUUGGCAUUGUCAACAAGAACAACCACUGGAUGUUGAUGGUUAUGCUUCCAUCAGAGAAGAGGUCAUUGUUCCUUGAUCCUCUUGGGGAAAAGGCAAAGGACAUAAAACACUGUCAAGAGCAUUCAUGAGACAAAGGGGACUCAAUAUCUCAAAAUGGUCAUGCACCUCUCUCCCUCACCCUCUGCAAAAAGAUGUGACAUCUUGUGGAGUAUUUGCAUUAAAGUUUGCAGAAUGCAUUUUAAAAGGGCAGAGCAUCUCCUUUGGAUCAUCAAAAAAACACAUUGAGGGACUAAGAAAGGUCAUAGCAACCACUCUACUGGAAAACAGUGGUAUGUUGGUGACAUGCUGGAGUAUUGCAUGGAUAGCUUAUUUUAGUUAAAUUGAUUAUAUAAGUCUUAUAACAAUAACAGAAACCUGAGCUGUUAUGGUUCUUUGAUUUUGUCAGAUGACCUCAGUGAAGUCUGCCACAUCUGUGGUAACGUGGAGGAUGGCCAGGAUGAGACAGUUUCCUGGAUAUCCUGUGACUCAUGUCAUCGGUGGUACCACCAGCGAUGUGCCAAAUGUAUCACUACUGACAGUGACUACAUGUGUGAGGCUUGUAGUGAUUUGGCUGUAGUUUGAAGUUGUGUGUGUGUGUGUGUGUGUGUGUGUGUGUGUGUGUGUGUGUGUGUGUGUGUGUGUGUGUGUGUG